RNAcentral lists this ribosomal RNA (323 nucleotides) under uncultured eukaryote. Its description in RNAcentral is "partial 18S ribosomal RNA". It matches the Rfam family "Eukaryotic small subunit ribosomal RNA", at positions 1470 to 1796 of the family's 1831-position model. The record is from RNAcentral.
CCCUUAGAUGUUCUGGGCCGCACGCGCGCUACACUGACGAAGUCAGCGAGCAUGUCCUACGCCGACAGGUGCGGGGAAUCUUGUCAAACUUCGUCGUGAUGGGGAUUGAUUAUUGAAAUUCUUGAUCAUCAACGAGGAAUUCCUAGUAAGCGCAAGUCAGCAGCUUGCGUUGAUUACGUCCCUGCCCUUUGUACACACCGCCCGUCGCUCCUACCGAUUGAAUGCUCAGGUGAGCCAUUCGGACUUUCAUCAUGCUGGUUUCCAGUUUUGAUGAAGGAAAGUCUUGCGAACCUUAUCAUUUAGAGGAAGGAGAAGUCGUAACA